This 260-nucleotide unclassified non-coding RNA is filed under the name Mucoromycotina sp. Its description in RNAcentral is "partial contains small subunit ribosomal RNA and internal transcribed spacer 1". The stretch from base 1 to 47 matches the Rfam family "Eukaryotic small subunit ribosomal RNA", at positions 1785 to 1831 of the family's 1831-position model. Lineage: Eukaryota; Fungi; Mucoromycota. The record is from RNAcentral.
AAAGUCGUAACAAGGUUUCCGUAGGUGAACCUGCGGAAGGAUCAUCAAUAAUCCAUACGGUUGAGUAGGUAAAACUAUUCAAUCUAACCAUCUUGUGCACUGUUUAUCGUUGAUUGGUUGGGAAAAAAACUGUGACUCCAAUUUUAAUUGGAACCGAUUCCCAACUAAUUCAUUAUAUACAAACUAUUUUAUUUUUGUUGUUUAUUUACAUGAAAAUGUGUUAAUUUAUACAACUUACAGCGAUGGAUCUCUAGGCUCUG